This 5544-nucleotide long non-coding RNA is filed under the name Homo sapiens (human). Its description in RNAcentral is "HSALNT0380152". The record is from RNAcentral. Lineage: Eukaryota; Metazoa; Chordata; Mammalia; Primates; Hominidae.
AGAGUAUUUUCUUUCUUGUCCAGAUUAGCUAAAUUGGAUUGUUCUAUGCUAAAUUCACUUAAUCACUACUCUAUUAUUUUUGAAUUUUUUAGUUCUGUUUUUUUCACUUGGUUCUUUUUUUAAAAAAACUUCUACUACCUUUCUGAGACUUCUACUUUUUUACUUUUUUCAAGAAGCUUUAUAAUUACUUGCUAAAGCAUUUUUACCAUGACUGUUUUUAACUUCUUCAGAUAACCACAACAUUUGGUUAAUCUUGAGGUUGGCUUGGUUAACUGUCUUUUCUCAUCCUGCUUAUGAUUUUCCUUCUAAUUGUGAUUUUUCCGGUUCUUGAUAGAUGGGUGAUGUUUUAGUUUAUCCUGCAUUUUUUUUUCCUUUUUAAGUUAGAGGAAUCUGAAUCUAUUCAAAUGUUUUAUUUUAGCAGGCAUGUGCCCUGUUUAGGUUUAAUUUGAAUGUCCUGUCCUACUUUUGUAGGCCAUGUUUUCGCAGGCAGUCUUGCUAUCAGAGCUGAGGGGAUGCUGUUUUGAUCACUUAGUUUAUCUGAUGUUGCUGGGCCUCCAACUGGUGCUGACUGGUACUUCCUGAGAUGGCGAAGGUUUUUCUGUACUCUGAGAUGCCGUGUAUCUCUAUGUAAGGGGAGGAGACUCUGGACCACAGGAAUGAAGAGAACAUCUUAGGUCAGGCAGCUCAAUCAUAUGCGAUAACCUGGGUCAACCAGCCAGUAGCCUCAUGAAGUAUGGGAGGGAAUUCUCCAGUGUCAGCAUUCAAAGACAUCAUGAGUUUUUACUUCUCAUUUUCUUUUAAGUGAAAUAAUCGCAUGGAAAUUAAAGAAUAAAUAUAUGAAAUAUAUGAAACUUAUAUGAAAUAUAAGAAUGUGAGAAGGCCUACAGCGUGGGGAUCCCCAGGCUAUUUGAACAAUGAAUGUCUGUGUUACACAUCUUUGCUCACUUUUUCUCUAUUUUUGUAGUUCAUUGUGGAACCAGCACAGAUUUUCAUACGAAAGUUAUUUCUUUUUAACCUCAAAAAGUGACAGAAUGGAGUGUAUCAUGAAAAAGUCUGACAUCAAAACCUCAAAAUGUGAUAUUGAUUGGGUGAGAUAGAAUUCCAUGGAAUUUCAUUGCCAAACCAGUGAAGUGCUAAUUUUGACAUUUGUACCAGCUAACGUAGCUGUGAAGAAACACACCAAUACACUUCUAAGGACAGCAUAGACCAAGAUCUAGGUUUCAUAUGGAUGAAUUUAUUCUUCCCUUUGAGGCAAGACAAGAAGGAAAGAAAGUAUUGGGAAUAAUGCUGCCCUCCCAUCCUCAAGGGCCAGUGGGAACUCUAAUAUUGAUUGGUUUUCACAGAAUUCCAUGGACUUUAACUGCUGAACCAAUGAUGCACUGAUUUUGUCACUUGUACCAGCUAACGCAUCUGGGAGGCAACAAAACAAUACUCUCCUGAGGUUAAUGUGGACCAAAAACUAGAUUUCAUAUAAAAGAGUUUAUUCCUUCUACUUGAGGUGUGACAUGAAGGAAAGUAAUGGAAAUAAUUCUGCCCUCCCAUUCUCAAGGGCCAGGGGGAAUUCAAAUAUUGAACGGAAGUGAUUUUGGAAUUGCAUGGAAUUCUCACUGCCAUCCCAAAGAAAUGCUGAUCUUGUCACUCUUACCUGUUUCAUUCCCUGGGGGCAGAACAAAAGGACGCACUCCAAAGAUCGGCAUGAACCAAGAACUGGGUUUCAUAUAAAAUAUUUUAUUCUGUCCUCUUGAGAUGUGACAUGAGAAAAGUAUUGAGAAUACUUCUAUCACCUCAUCUUCAAGAAUCCGUAGGAAUUCUCCCAUGGUGGACUUUACGGUUAACCUGAACAGGUCUUGGAAAAAGGACUUUAAACAUUCUCCUGUUCUGUGGAAUAAGUAUACUUUUUUCUGGACAUACACCUUGUCAGUUCCAUGUGAUACUAGAGUUGCAUAGAUUUUUAACCUUUACGCCAAUGAAGAUCUGAGGCAAACAUUGCCCCUUUUUUAGAAGUUUGCAUUUGUCACUGAUAACUGUAAUAAUUGAUCUUGUUGAAAAGCCUGGGAAAUGAAGAUCUGAUAUGUCACUUUUACCGGCUUCCUCAACUGAAAAAGAAUACAAUGAAACACGCUGAGAAUUUUUGUGCUUUCUCAGUCUUGCUGAUGAUCUUUCUAUGGGCCUGAAGCGUGGAGAGUGCCAGAGAGGCUGAUCCUCAGCAGUGUGGCAGAGGAAAGUUGGGUGCGACUAAGGGGUAUGCGGUGCCCACAUGCCACUGGGUCCUCAGCAGUACCACCUGAUUGGAAGUGAUAUUGGUGGAAGACAACAUUUUGCCGCUUGGAAUUCUCACCUCCACACCAAAGAAGUACUGUUUUUGUCAUUUGCACCAGCUUCUUUCUCCAGGAAAGAUCAAAACGAUGCACUGCAAGUGUGAUUGGUCCAGAUAGCUGCCUUAUCCAACUGCCUCCUUUGGACCACUUCAUCAUGGGACAGCUUGAUGCAAUCUACUUGACAAGACCCUGGAACCCCACACCCCUCAUGGAACCAGUGUCCACCUCCCAGUCACAGUGUGACCCCAGGGAACUCUUGCCUGCUUGCUUUAAACCCACCACUUAAAAGUCUCCACAGAAAACCUGUUUGAAUAGUACCCUUGACCCAAUAAGGGCAUUGGCCCCUGGGUGUCUCUCUCUCUCUCUCUCUCUCUCUCUCCCUCUCUCUCCCUCUCUCUCUCUCGCUCCCUGACCUCUGCGUGUGGACUCCAGGCAUGCCAUAUACCCCUCAGGACCUGAAGCAAAAGAAUGAAUUAAAGAAAACUCCAGAGAAUGAGCUGACAACCUACUCCCUGGUCAGUGGCUCUCCAUGCCUACCUGUGGUCUCUUGGACACCCUUGCAGAAGAUGACUUCCUGGGAACUCUUCUGGGAGUGAAUGUUAUCAGCAAAUUCCCAAAACAACACCCCUUAGACAAAAAGCCUCCUCACCUAUGCAUUGCCUAGACCACCCACUAAAGGUGAUGGCCACAAAGAGGUGGAUUUGUUGAGUUGGUGCCAUUCCUUCUACUGCCAGCUUCACCAAAACAAUGACACAGUCUUCCUUCCGCAUGGAGACUCUUCUCUUUCCUGUGUUGCAGUGGAUGCCUCCUGCAGAUAAGAAAUGCUUAACUGAGAAAUGCUCAUGUUGGGAUAUCAUCGAUGAGACUUUAAUUUGGGCAUGGUGACUGUUUCCCUUGCUGCCACUUGACUCAAUCCCAGGAGCCUCAGUAGAGGAUAUAAUAUUACACAAGAUGCUCAAAAUGGUGGAAUUGCUCAGUGCUCCCAUAAAUAUACAUUUAUAAUUUUCAUUUGCCACAUGGUAAACUGAAAAAUACAGACUAUAUUAAAAAGAAACUGCAUGAUUUUUUUUCAAAAAUUCAAAGCAUAUUUAAAUAAUAUAUAAAUUAAAUGCCCUCCUCUCUUCCAAUUCUGUCCCUAUAGUUUUCCUCUAUUAAGUGAACUACAUGCAUUCUUUUAGUGGAUAGAUGCACACAAACACACAAGCCAUUAUGGGGAAGGAUCCACGUGUGUGGCCAUAUUGUAACACAUUUUUCUGCAAAUCACCUCUUUCAUUUAACAGCCCUUAUUCAAUGGCCUUUUUCUUUUUCAGUAGUACAUACACAUCUGUGUCAUUUGUUGAAUGACGACAUGAAUGUUUUGUAGAUAAAAUAUAAUUAAAUGUUUUAAGCAUUUCUCACUCAUAGAUAUUUAUGUUAGCACCAAAUUUCUGUGCAAUGAACCUCCCUAUAUAUCAGUAAUUUUGCAUUUGUCUAUAAUAUCAUAAUAAAUUACUUAUCAGUUGAAUUACUGGGAUUAAGUAUGUGCACACUUUAUAUUUAUAUUUUGAAAAUUAUUGCAAGAUUGCCUUCAAAAAUGUGGUUAACAACUUUAUCUUCAAAUGGCAAUGAAUGAGAUUGCCAGCUUUCCUACAGCCUCACAGACAAUGGAUUUUAUAAAUAUUUAACAUUUUUGCCAAUGUGAUCACCCAAACUAUUGUCUUAAAUUGUAUCUCUUUUGUUUUUGAGUUUGGUCAUUUUUUCAUGUUUAUUAGCCAUCUGUAUUUUUUAAUUUCUUCUUUAUGUCCAAUUUUGUGGGUGGGAGGAGGAUUUAGUCUCUUCCUGAUUUCGAAGAGCUCAUUUACUAUUUCGGGAAAUAAGAUUUGGAUUGUCAACCAUUAUAGCUAUUUUUUACACACUUUUCAACUUUGUUUUUGUUAUAAGAAUGUGUAUGAUUGUUACAUGUCCAAGUAUAACCAUGUUCGCUUUUAUGGCUUCUGAGUUUCAUGUCAUUUUUGGAAAGAUAUAUAUAUUGAGUCCAUAAAACCCUUCACCUAUGUUAAAUUCUAAUUCUUUUGUGUUUUUUUAAUUCAAAUUCUUAAAUCAUGAGAAAUUUUUUUGUUUUGAAAUCUUAAAGUUGCCAAGUUACUUGCCAUUACUUGCGAUUAUUUGCCAAUAAUUGCCCAUUUAUCUGUACCGCCAUCUUGCGCAUAUGCUGUACUCUCAUCUGUGACUGGCUCCAUUUUUGUUCUGUGGAUUUGUGUGUCUCUUCUUCUGCCUCCUGUCUCGUGUCUGCUCGUUGGAAGAAAUUACAGUUUAGACUGCAAUUUCAUCAACUUUAAUAAAUCAAUUGAGGGGAGAAUUGGUUUUUAAAAAUAUUAAGUAAGUCUUCGUAUCCAAGGACAAGGUAUGUCUUUUCUUAUUCAAUAAUUUUAAUUACUGUUAAUAUUUUCACUGUGGUGAUGGGAGUUUUUCUUUUAAUUUAUUUUCUUGUUCAUUUUUUGUAUCUAAAGUUUUUGUUUUGUUUUGUUUUGGGGGUAAGUUGUCACCUUACUGUUUCUUGUUGCUUUUCAGAUUUUUUCAAAGUAUAGACUAAAUCCUUCACAAAUAUUUAAAGUUUUUAUUUUCCCCCUUCAUAUUGAUCCUGAUUUUAGUUAUGUUGACAAAGUCCACAGACUGUUACUAUCAGAACACUUGAACAGUUAUGGAAAUAUUACCUACCCUUGAUUUAAUCAGAGUUUAAUGGUAUGCUUCUUUGGUUUGACUGGCACAUUGUCGCUGGUCAUUUCCUCCCAAAGACCACCAGAAAGAGCUAUGAUCAAGCAAAGCUGAGUUUGUUAAACUUACCUGCAGCAAGGGAAAACACCACCUUGAUAGGGUUUAAUAAUGUUUCAAAAUCAAGAAAUGAGGCUUUGGGGUCUGGGCAGGGAACUAAUUAGAAAUGGGCAAAAUUUGUCAUGCAAUACCUUGUGGGAAAGUGAGAUGAGGUUCUUAAUGUGAGUAUUGAUGGUGAAAUCAUUUUCUAGGUGAGCUGUUUGCCUAUAUAAAGAUGUUAUCAAUGACAGAAGAACUAUUUGCCUAGAUAAACAAACUGAAUUUAUUUAUUGGUUUACAGUUUUAUCUUGCUGGGCAGGACUCUGCUGGGGGUGGUAUCAGGUCUUAUUCCCAAUAGGUAAGUUAUUUGGAUAUGGGUGGUCUUAAUCAUCAAUGUGUAAAAUGCUGAUUUUAAGUGCGAAAUACUUUGUCUACC